RNAcentral lists this ribosomal RNA (137 nucleotides) under uncultured eukaryote. RNAcentral describes it as "partial 18S ribosomal RNA". It matches the Rfam family "Eukaryotic small subunit ribosomal RNA", at positions 1299 to 1458 of the family's 1831-position model. The record is from RNAcentral.
UGGUGGAGCGAUUUGCUGGUUAAUUCCGAUAACGAACGAGACUCUGGCCUAUUAAAUAGUUCGCCGAUUCCGAUCUGUCGGCGUUAACUUCUUAGAGGGACAAGUGGCUUUUAGCCACGCGAGAUUGAGCAAUAACA